This 226-nucleotide ribosomal RNA is filed under the name uncultured bacterium. RNAcentral's name for it is "partial 16S ribosomal RNA". It matches the Rfam family "Bacterial small subunit ribosomal RNA", at positions 108 to 334 of the family's 1533-position model. The record is from RNAcentral.
AGGUAACGCGUGGGUAACCUGCCUUAUACAGGGGAGUAACAGUCAGAAAUGGCUGCUAAUACCGCAUAAGCGCACAGAGCUGCAUGGCUCAGUGUGAAAAACUCCGGUGGUAUAAGAUGGACCCGCGUUGGAUUAGCUAGUUGGUGGGGUAACGGCCCACCAAGGCGACGAUCCAUAGCCGGCCUGAGAGGGUGAACGGCCACAUUGGGACUGAGACACGGCCCAG